This 954-nucleotide ribosomal RNA is filed under the name Triticum aestivum (bread wheat). RNAcentral's name for it is "partial small subunit ribosomal RNA". The record is from RNAcentral. Lineage: Eukaryota; Viridiplantae; Streptophyta; Magnoliopsida; Poales; Poaceae.
AUGGCCACCAAGGCCCCGAGCUGGUCCACCCGCUUCAGAUCUCCGGCCAGCGCCGUUUGGUUCCUGCCGGCCGCCGUCUUCAUCCUCCUCCUCCUCCUUCUGCGCCGCCCGACCAUGGACCCCUAUGCUCCCGCCGCUCCUCGCAGUCCCGUGUCUUCCCGGCGCGCCGAUCUGUACGGCAGGAUGGCGCGGGACCUUGACGAGCGCGGCGCGGCCUUCUUGAAGGGCGGCGAGACGUCGCAGUCCCUCACGCUCUCGGACCUCUUCGACAUCAGGGACGGCGCCGUCGUGCCCAGGCUCAAGGCCGCCGACCCGCCGGUGCGUGCAAACGUGCUCUACCUGGACCCGGUGUUCGCCGCCGAGAUAGCGAAGGCCGUGAAGGAAGUAUUUCUUCCUUAUUUUGAUAAAGCUAUCUGGUUCCAAAAUUCGAGCAUGUAUCACUUCAGUAUGUUUCAUGCCUCCCAUCAUCUGGAGCCAAUCUUAGCAACCAAGGACGAGAUUGAAGCCGAAGUCGAUGCUGUAAAAAGAGUUACUGAGGCUGCUUGUCCCCUUAAAAUUUCCUUGGAUCGAGUGGUCUUGACAGCAACUGGAGUUCUUCUUGGCCUGUGGCAGGUUGAAUCUGGUACUGAUCCUGCCGACAUCCGCUCAAAAUUGAGAGAAGCUCUACCUCGAGCACCCCAAAAGCAGUUGUAUGAUCCUGUUCUCCUCCACACAUCCUUUGCGCGAAUUCUGGGACCUCCUAAGCUCCCACAACAGGAGGACACAUCAUCUUUCAGUCACAUCAAAUUCUUCCAUGAUCUCGUUGCACAGGUUAAUGGGAAAAUCCGUGGCUUCCAGGCAAAGGUAUCAGAGCUGUGGUAUGUAGAAGAGUACGAUGUGCUAGCCCUAGCACUGAACGGAAAGAUGAGAGUGCGGAGGCUCCACCUUGGCUGCAAUGAGAGCCAAGAUAACUGA